RNAcentral lists this ribosomal RNA (490 nucleotides) under uncultured bacterium. RNAcentral's name for it is "partial 16S ribosomal RNA". It matches the Rfam family "Bacterial small subunit ribosomal RNA", at positions 30 to 507 of the family's 1533-position model. The record is from RNAcentral.
UGACCGCUGGCGGUAGGCCUACCACAUGCACGUCGAACGGCAGCACAGUAAGAGCUUGCUCUUACGGGUGGCGAGUGGCGGACGGGUGAGGAAUACAUCGGAAUCUACUUUUUCGUGGGGGAUAACGUAGGGAAACUUACGCUAAUACCGCAUACGACCUACGGGUGAAAGCAGGGGAUCUUCGGACCUUGCGCGAUUGAAUGAGCCGAUGUCGGAUUAGCUAGUUGGCGGGGUAAAGGCCCACCAAGGCGACGAUCCGUAGCUGGUCUGAGAGGAUGAUCAGCCACACUGGAACUGAGACACGGUCCAGACUCCUACGGGAGGCAGCAGUGGGGAAUAUUGGACAAUGGGCGCAAGCCUGAUCCAGCCAUACCGCGUGGGUGAAGAAGGCCUUCGGGUUGUAAAGCCCUUUUGUUGGGAAAGAAAAGCAGCAGGUUAAUACCCCGCUGUUCUGACGGUACCCAAAGAAUAAGCACCGGCUAACUUCGUG